UUAAGAUUUAAUUUUAGUCUUUAUAUUAAAUAAAAAAAAACAUGCAUAUAAAUUUUUAACUAGAUUAAAAUUUAAUUAAAAUUAGUAUAAAAUAUUUUAUUAUUAAGGAAACUUAAAAAAAUUUUUUAUUUUCAAAUUUUUGUGCCAGAAGUUUCGGUUAAACAAAUAAUUGAUUAAUAUUAUUAGUUAUUAUAAAAAAAUUGAUAAAGAAAAAAUUUAUUUUAUUUUUAGUAAAAUAAAAUAAAUAAUAUUAUUUCUAUUUAAUAAUUAUAUUUAUAAAAUAUAAAUUAAAUACUAGGAUUAGAUACCCUAUUAAAAUUUAUAUAUAAACUAAGUUAUUAAAAUUUAAAUAAAUAAAAUUAAAAAAGAUGGCAGUGUAAUAACUUAAUUAGAGAAUUUUGUUUAAUAAAUUGAUAAUACACAAGAUACCUUACUUUAUUUUUUAUUUAUUUAUUUCCGUUUUAAGAAUUAAUAUAAAAUUUAAUUCAUAAAAAAAAUUAAAUCUUAUAAUUCAGGUCAAUAUAUAGUUUAUAAUAAAGUUUAAAUGAAAUACAUUUAAAAAAUAAAUAUGGAUUAUAUAAUUAAAAUAUAAAAUGAAAGAGAAUUUAAAAGUAAUAAAACUUUAGAAUAAUUUUAUGAAUAAGUUAUAUUAUAUGUACAAAUCGCCCGUCAUUCUUAUAAAUUAGACAAGUCGUAACAUAGUAAAUGUAUUGGAAAAUGUAUUUAGAUAUAA
RNAcentral lists this non-coding RNA (733 nucleotides) under Coleoptera sp. 15 KM-2017. The record is from RNAcentral. Lineage: Eukaryota; Metazoa; Arthropoda; Insecta; Coleoptera.